CUCAGGAUGAACGCUGGCGGUGUGCCUAAUACAUGCAAGUCGAUCGGGCGUAGCAAUACGUCAGAGGCGUACGGGUGAGUAACACGUAGGUAACCUACCUUUAAGACUGGGAUACCCAGACGAAAGUUUGGCUAAUACCGGAUAACAACAUUUGAGACAUCUCUUUUGUUUGAAAGGCGCUGCAAGGCGCCACUUUUAGAUGGACCUGCGUCGCAUUAGCUAGUUGGUGAGAUAAAAGCCCACCAAGGCUGGGAUGCGUAGCCGAUCUGAGAGGAUGACCGGCCACAAUGGGACUGAGACACGGCCCAUACUCCUACGGGAGGCAGCAGUAGGGAGUUUUCGGCAAUGGGGGAAACCCUGACCGAGCAACACCGCGUGAGUGAUGAAAGGUCUUCGGAUCGUAAAGCUCUGUUACGAGGGACGAAUGAUCGCUUUAGGAAAUGAGAGCGGUUUGACGGUACCUCGCCAGAAAGCGACGGCUAACUACGUGCCAGCCGCAGC
RNAcentral lists this ribosomal RNA (501 nucleotides) under uncultured bacterium. Its description in RNAcentral is "bacterial SSU rRNA". It matches the Rfam family "Bacterial small subunit ribosomal RNA", at positions 23 to 518 of the family's 1533-position model. The record is from RNAcentral.